AACGAACGCUGGCGGCAUGCCUAACACAUGCAAGUCGAACGAGAUCUUCGGGUCUAGUGGCGCACGGGUGCGUAACGCGUGGGAAUCUGCCCUUUGGUUCGGAAUAACAGUUGGAAACGACUGCUAAUACCGGAUGAUGACGAAAGUCCAAAGAUUUAUCGCCAGAGGAUGAGCCCGCGUAGGAUUAGCUAGUUGGUGUGGUAAAGGCGCACCAAGGCGACGAUCCUUAGCUGGUCUGAGAGGAUGAUCAGCCACACUGGGACUGAGACACGGCCCAGACUCCUACGGGAGGCAGCAGUGGGGAAUAUUGGACAAUGGGCGAAAGCCUGAUCCAGCAAUGCCGCGUGAGUGAUGAAGGCCUUAGGGUUGUAAAGCUCUUUUACCAGGGAUGGUAAUGACAGUACCGGGAGAAUAAGCUCCGGCUAACUCCGUGCCAGCCGCCGCAGUAA
This 449-nucleotide ribosomal RNA is filed under the name uncultured bacterium. Its description in RNAcentral is "partial 16S ribosomal RNA". It matches the Rfam family "Bacterial small subunit ribosomal RNA", at positions 29 to 523 of the family's 1533-position model. The record is from RNAcentral.